GCUUGCUACUGAUCUUAGCGGCGGACGGGUGAGUAAUGCUUAGGAAUCUGCCUAUUAGUGGGGGACAACAUUUCGAAAGGAAUGCUAAUACCGCAUACGUCCUACGGGAGAAAUGGUCAGGGGAUCUUCGGACCUUGCGCUAAUAGAUGAGCCUAAGUCGGAUUAGCUAGUCGGUGGGGUAAAGGCCUACCAAGGCGACGAUCUGUAGCGGGUCUGAGAGGAUGAUCCGCCACACUGGGACUGAGACACGGCCCAGACUCCUACGGGAGGCAGCAGUGGGGAAUAUUGGACAAUGGGCGCAAGCCUGAUCCAGCCAUGCCGCGUGUGUGAAGAAGGCCUUAUGGUUGUAAAGCACUUUAAGCGAGGAGGAGGCUACUUUAGUUAAUACCUAGAGAUAGUGGACGUUACUCGCAGAAUAAGCACCGGCUAACUCUGUGCCAGCAGCCGCGGUAAUACAGAGGGUGCAAGCGUUAAUCGGAUUUACUGGGCGUAAAGCGCGCGUAGGCGGCUAAUUAAGUCAAAUGUGAAAUCCCCGAGCUUAACUUGGGAAUUGCAUUCGAUACUGGUUAGCUAGAGUGUGGGAGAGGAUGGUAGAAUUCCAGGUGUAGCGGUGAAAUGCGUAGAGAUCUGGAGGAAUACCGAUGGCGAAGGCAGCCAUCUGGCCUAACACUGACGCUGAGGUGCGAAAGCAUGGGGAGCAAACAGGAUUAGAUACCCUGGUAGUCCAUGCCGUAAACGAUGUCUACUAGCCGUUGGGGCCUUUGAGGCUUUAGUGGCGCAGCUAACGCGAUAAGUAGACCGCCUGGGGAGUACGGUCGCAAGACUAAAACUCAAAUGAAUUGACGGGGGCCCGCACAAGCGGUGGAGCAUGUGGUUUAAUUCGAUGCAACGCGAAGAACCUUACCUGGCCUUGACAUAGUAAGAACUUUUCCAGAGAUGGAUUGGUGCCCUUCGGGAACUUACAUACAGGUGCUGCAUGGCUGUCGUCAGCUCGUGUCGUGGAGAUGGUGGGUUAAGUCCCGCAACGAGCGCAACCCUUUUUUCCUUAGUUUGCCAGCGAGUAAUGUCGGGAACUUUAAGGAUACUGCCAGUGACAAACUGGAGGAAGGCGGGGACGACGUCAAGUCAUCAUGGCCCUUACGGCCAGGGCUACACACGUGCUACAAUGGUCGGUACAAAGGGUUGCUACCUAGCGAUAGGAUGCUAAUCUCAAAAAGCCGAUCGUAGUCCGGAUUGGAGUCUGCAACUCGACUCCAUGAAGUCGGAAUCGCUAGUAAUCGCGGAUCAGAAUGCC
This 1294-nucleotide ribosomal RNA is filed under the name Acinetobacter calcoaceticus. RNAcentral describes it as "bacterial SSU rRNA". It matches the Rfam family "Bacterial small subunit ribosomal RNA", at positions 78 to 1358 of the family's 1533-position model. The record is from RNAcentral. Lineage: Bacteria; Pseudomonadati; Pseudomonadota; Gammaproteobacteria; Moraxellales; Moraxellaceae.